This 254-nucleotide long non-coding RNA is filed under the name Vigna radiata. RNAcentral's name for it is "long non-coding RNA (VRAD_LNC011275)". The record is from RNAcentral. Lineage: Eukaryota; Viridiplantae; Streptophyta; Magnoliopsida; Fabales; Fabaceae.
UCAUGCGCUUCAAGAGAAUUUUGCAGCUCCUCGACCUUCAUCUUCUCUGUAUCUUUGCUUUCCUCAAUCGCCACAACUAUAUGAUCGAAUUGAGGUGUCAAUGUUCUCAAGAUUUUAUCCACAACCUUCUUGUCUUUGACCACUUUAUCACACGCCCGCAUUGCAUUCACAACCACCUGGAUCCUUCCAAUGUAAGCUUCGAUGGUUUCUUGUUCACCUAUACUCAGAAGUUCAUACUGCCUAUGCAAAGAUUG